AUGUCUGACCAGGAGGCAAAACCUUCAACUGAGGACUUGAGAGAUAAGAAAGAAGAAUACCUCAAACUUAAGGUCAUUGGACAGGAUAGCAGUGAGAUUCACUUUGAGGUGAAAAUGGCAACACAUCUCAAGAAACUCAAAGAAUCAUACUGUCAAAGACAGGGAGUUCCAAUGAAUUCACUCAGCUUUCUCUUUGAAGGUCAGAGAAUUGCUGAUAAUCACACUCCAAAAGAACUGGGAAUGAAGGAAGAACAUGUGAUUGAAGUUUAUCAGGAAAAAACGGGGGGUCAUUCAACAGUUUAG
Molecule: RNA transcript, 303 nt
Organism: Trichechus manatus latirostris (Florida manatee)
Lineage: Eukaryota; Metazoa; Chordata; Mammalia; Sirenia; Trichechidae
Gene name: small ubiquitin-related modifier 1 pseudogene
Exons: 1
Source: RefSeq, a predicted model, not a curated record